Molecule: ribosomal RNA, 118 nt
Filed under: Salmo salar (Atlantic salmon)
Lineage: Eukaryota; Metazoa; Chordata; Actinopteri; Salmoniformes; Salmonidae
Source: RNAcentral
GCUACGGCCAUAUCAGCCUGGGUACGCCCGAUCUCGUCUGAUCUCGGAAGCUAAGCAGGGUCGGGCCUGGUUAGUACUUUGAUGGGAGACUGCCUGGGAAUACCAGGUGCUGUAAGCA